UGGGGAAUUUUGGACAAUGGGCGCAAGCCUGAUCCAGCAAUGCCGCGUGCAGGAUGAAGGCCUUCGGGUUGUAAACCGCUUUUGUACGGAGCGAAAAGGUCUGCCCUAAUACGGCGGGCUCAUGACGGUACCGUAAGAAUAAGCACCGGCUAACUACGUGCCAGCAGCCGCGGUAAUACGAAGGGGGCUAGCGUUUCUCGGAAUUACUGGGCGUAAAGGGAGCGUAGGCGGACAUUUAAGUCAGGGGUGAAAUCCCGGGGCACAAGCUCGGAAUUGCCUUGGAUACUGGGUGUCUUGAGUGUGAGAGAGGGGGAUGGAAUUCCGCGUGUAGCAGUGAAGUGCGGAGAUAUGCGGAGGAACACCGAUGGCGAAGGCAAUCCCCUGGACCUGUACUGACGCUCAUGCACGAAAGCGUGGGGAGCAAAC
RNAcentral lists this ribosomal RNA (426 nucleotides) under uncultured bacterium. RNAcentral's name for it is "bacterial SSU rRNA". It matches the Rfam family "Bacterial small subunit ribosomal RNA", at positions 355 to 773 of the family's 1533-position model. The record is from RNAcentral.